GCAUCCAGUUGCCAUCGGGCGGAGCCGGGCACUCUGGAGGGACUGCCGGCGAUAAGCCGGAGGAAGUGGGGAUGACGUCAAGUCAUCAUGGCCCUUAUGUCCAGGGCGACACACGUGCUACAAUGGCCGGCACAGCGGGAAGCGGAGGGGCGACCCUGAGCGGAUCCCUUGAAAGCCGGUCCCAGUUCGGAUUGCAGUCUGCAACUCGACUGCAUGAAGUUGGAAUCGCUAGUAAUCGCGGAUCAGCCAAGCCGCGGUGAAUACGUUCCCGGGCCUU
This 277-nucleotide ribosomal RNA is filed under the name uncultured Thermovirga sp. Its description in RNAcentral is "partial 16S ribosomal RNA". It matches the Rfam family "Bacterial small subunit ribosomal RNA", at positions 1107 to 1382 of the family's 1533-position model. The record is from RNAcentral. Lineage: Bacteria; Thermotogati; Synergistota; Synergistia; Synergistales; Thermovirgaceae.